CACCAUCAGGCUUGAAAAGAAGAAUGAUACAGUAGCCGAAGACGACAAGGAUGGAAGGCCAGCCCAAUUGAGGAACAUUAAUGUUAGUUUCAUUAGCUCGGGAUGGUAAACUAACGAAACGAGGUUUUACGCAUAUUUCAUUCAGUGAUUUCUCCACAGAGUUUCUAAAUCCAGGAACCACUGAGCACAACAUAGAUCCCACAUAAACGCAUAAUUCCUUGUUAUGCUUGCAAUAAUACUUGGCAGCAUAAUAAGCCAUACAGAAAGCCAUACCAGUGUUGUCGCCACCAUUCACAUC
This 298-nucleotide long non-coding RNA is filed under the name Trifolium pratense (red clover). RNAcentral's name for it is "long non-coding RNA (TPRA_LNC014180)". The record is from RNAcentral. Lineage: Eukaryota; Viridiplantae; Streptophyta; Magnoliopsida; Fabales; Fabaceae.